CGCUAUCACUCCUACGGGGAGGCAGCAGUAGGGAAUCUUCCACAAUGGACGAAAGUCUGAUGGAGCAACGCCGCGUGAGUGAAGAAGGGUUUCGGCUCGUAAAAACUCUGUUGUUUAAAGAAGAACAUAUCUGAGAGUAACUGUUCAGGUAUUGACGGUAUUUAACCAGAAAGCCACGGCUAACUACGUGCCAGCAGCCGCGGUAAUACGUAGGUGGCAAGCGUUGUCCGGAUUUAUUGGGCGUAAAGCGAGCGCAGGCGGUUUUUAAGUUCUGAUGUGAAAGCCUUCGGCUCAACCGAAGAAGUGCAUCGGAAACUGGGAAACUUGAGUGCAGAAGAGGACAGUGGAACUCCAUGUGUAGCGGUGAAAUGCGUAGAUAUAUGGAAGAACACCAGUGGCGAAGGCGGCUGUCUGGUCUGUAACUGACGCUGAGGCUCGAAAGUAUGGGUAGCAAACAGGAUUAGAUACCCUGGUAG
Molecule: ribosomal RNA, 476 nt
Filed under: uncultured bacterium
Lineage: Bacteria
Description: bacterial SSU rRNA
Rfam family: Bacterial small subunit ribosomal RNA
Source: RNAcentral